This 497-nucleotide ribosomal RNA is filed under the name uncultured bacterium. RNAcentral's name for it is "partial 16S ribosomal RNA". It matches the Rfam family "Bacterial small subunit ribosomal RNA", at positions 28 to 507 of the family's 1533-position model. The record is from RNAcentral.
GACGAACGCUGGCGGCGUGCCUAAUACAUGCAAGUUGAGCGAUGAAGAUUGGUGCUUGCCCCAAUUUGAAGAGCAGCGAACGGGUGAGUAACGCGUGGGGAAUCUGCCUUUGAGCGGGGGACAACAUUUGGAAACGAAUGCUAAUACCGCAUAACAACUUUAAACAUAAGUUUUAAGUUUGAAAGAUGCAAUUGCAUCACUCAAAGAUGAUCCCGCGUUGUAUUAGCUAGUUGGUGAGGUAAAGGCUCACCAAGGCGAUGAUACAUAGCCGACCUGAGAGGGUGAUCGGCCACAUUGGGACUGAGACACGGCCCAAACUCCUACGGGAGGCAGCAGUAGGGAAUCUUCGGCAAUGGACGAAAGUCUGACCGAGCAACGCCGCGUGAGUGAAGAAGGUUUUCGGAUCGUAAAACUCUGUUGGUAGAGAAGAACGUUGGUGAGGGUGGAAAGCUCAUCAAGUGACGGUAACUACCCAGAAAGGGACGGCUAACUACGUG